CAGUCGCCACGGUAAUACAGAGGGUGCGAGCGUUAAUCGGAUUUACUGGGCGUAAAGCGUGCGUAGGCGGCUUCUUAAGUCGGAUGUGAAAUCCCUGAGCUUAACUUAGGAAUUGCAUUCGAUACUGGGAAGCUAGAGUAUGGGAGAGGAUGGUAGAAUUCCAGGUGUAGCGGUGAAAUGCGUAGAGAUCUGGAGGAAUACCGAUGGCGAAGGCAGCCAUCUGGCCUAAUACUGACGCUGAGGUACGAAAGCAUGGGGAGCAAACAGGAUUAGAUACCCCAGUAGUACCUGUCUCUUAUAC
RNAcentral lists this ribosomal RNA (301 nucleotides) under uncultured bacterium. Its description in RNAcentral is "partial 16S ribosomal RNA". It matches the Rfam family "Bacterial small subunit ribosomal RNA", at positions 509 to 807 of the family's 1533-position model. The record is from RNAcentral.